UACAGAGGUCUCAAGCGUUGUUCGGAAUUACUGGGUGUAAAGGGUUCGUAGGCGGUGCGGCAAGUUGGGAGUGAAAUCUCUGGGCUUAACCCAGAGGCUGCUUCCAAAACUGCUGUGCUUGAGUGUGGGAGAGGCGCGUGGAAUUGCAGGUGUAGCGGUGAAAUGCGUAGAUAUCUGCAGGAACACCCGUGGCGAAAGCGGCGCGCUGGACCACUACUGACGCUGAGGAACGAAAGCUAGGGGAGCAAACAGG
This 253-nucleotide ribosomal RNA is filed under the name uncultured bacterium. Its description in RNAcentral is "partial 16S ribosomal RNA". It matches the Rfam family "Bacterial small subunit ribosomal RNA", at positions 524 to 776 of the family's 1533-position model. The record is from RNAcentral.